RNAcentral lists this long non-coding RNA (6774 nucleotides) under Malus domestica (apple). RNAcentral describes it as "long non-coding RNA (MDOM_LNC014414)". The record is from RNAcentral. Lineage: Eukaryota; Viridiplantae; Streptophyta; Magnoliopsida; Rosales; Rosaceae.
UAGGUGUUCAAUAAGAUAGAAAAGUCUUGUUAAUAAAAGGAAUGCUAAUCCCUUUUGUAGAGGGAUUCUGUACAGCAUGAAGAUCAGAACAAGGAAACAAGAAUUUGUUUCCUAUAUGGAUUUUGAUAGGGAAUCCUAAUCAGUUAUGGUAAAGAUUAUAUGUAUAUAUAUAGUGGCCUCUCUUCUCACAGGGACAUGCUCAUUAUUUUGGACUUAAUCCUAUUUAUAAGUCGAGCUCUUGAUAACCUGCGAGAGAAGAGAAGGUACACUGAAAGCUUGCUGCUAUGGCUUCGGGUUCUGCUACAAGUGCAGGUAUGUUCUUCUUGCUGUGUUUUUUCAUAUACAUAAAUUGAAUAUUUCUCUCUAAGUUGUAGUUCAUGUUUUGGUCUUGGUGAUUAUGAUUAAGGGUCUUACAUGUGGUAUCAGAGCCACAAGACAUAUCAACAUGAGUUCAAUUUGUAAAGAAGAAAUUUUGUAUGUUACUAUAAAAAAAUAAAAAAAUAAAAAAAUAAAAAAAAAUAAAAAAAAAAUAAAAAAAAUAAAAAAAUUUUCUUUUAUACUCUUAUGAAGAAUCGAAGUCUGGUUCUGGAGGAAAUAAAAGAAGCGGUAAUGUAAACCGUCAAAGGAACCCUUAGGUUAUUAUCGAGUGAAGGUUUUCCAGAUUUUAGAAAGCAAUGCUUUCUUCUAUAAACAUCGAUCUGGGUUUUUCCUUUCCAACCCUCAAAUCUUCUAUUAUUUUCAAAUUCUAAAUCGCUUCCGCUGCCCGAUUCGUGAAUUUGAGUUAUAAUGAUUAAAAGGUAUGUUGUUAAUUGCUUUGAAUCCUUUGGGCAAAUGUAUAGAUGAAUGUGUUUACUUUCCCGGUUCAUCGACUGCAAUAAUGAGUCGUAUGCAGAUGUAUUUUGAUCUUUUAAAAUACAAAUGCAGACCUUAAUUAACCAUUCGGUGCAUUCUUUGAUCACUUUCAAAAUGCUUUUUACAUGUAUGAGACACCAUUAAACCAUUUGGUGUCUAAGGAUAUAUGGCAGAAAUCAGCGGAUCGUUUUUCAAGUUCUUGCUUAAUCAUUCCACUCUAUGUAUGCUUAUCAACAGAUUGUUGAUUAAGACUAUAUAUAUGGGUUUGUGAUUAUAGUCAUGAUGUGCAAAGUGAUGUUGAGAUGAAAUCAGGAACUAAUAAGUUCAAAUUGUGAUUUCAUUGCAGGUUCAACAUCUGCAAUAUCGUUCCGGACUAUGAACUUGGCAAACAUUCCUGUUCUCACAGGGGGAAGCAACUACAAGAAGUGGAGACGUGAGAUUGGGCUCUUAUUGACACUCAAUGACAUUGACAUAGCCCUUGAAACUCCCAAGCCGAUUCUGACUGAUCAAAGUACAAGGGCUGAGAAAGCUGAUGCAGAGAGAUGGGUCAGAGCGAACAAAGUGGCACUUUCUAUACUUGAAAGUGCCAUGACUGAUACUGUUUGCGAUGGAAUCAAGAAGCAUGAACUAGCUAUUGAGUAUUUACAAGCAAUUGAAAGAAAGUUCAAAGAAUCUCAGAAGGCAGAAAUCAGUCACUAUAUGGCAAUGCUGACCACAUACAAGAUUGAUGGCAUAGGGUCAAUCAGAGACCAUAUCUUGAAAAUGACUGAUGCAGCUGAGAAAUUAAAUUCUUUAGAUGUUAAUAUUGGUGAAAAACAGUUAGUUUUCAUGAUCCUUCAAGCUCUUCCAAACAAAUAUAGUCAGUUAAAGGUGUCUUACAACACUCAAGACAAGAACUGGGAUGUUGAUGAGCUAAUAGCACAGUGCGUUCAAGAAGAGGCUAGACAAAAGCAAGAAAGAGGGAAAGAAACUGAAACGGUGAAUUUUGUGCAACCAGACAAGGGGAAGAAAUCAUUCAAGUCAUUCUCUGGAAACUCUGGUAAGAACAAUAAUACCAAGGUAACCUCUUUUAAGUCUACUGCAUCUGCCAAAGUAAAGGACUCUAUUAAGGGAUCUAGCAAUCUUAUGGUCAAAACUAAAAAUAUUGCCAAACUCAGAUGUUUUUUCUGCAAAACUAAAGGACACUUAAGAAAAGAUUGUCAAGUUUUUCAGGACUAUCUUAAAAGUAAGGGUGUAGAAAAUGUCAAUGUCUGUGUUGAGUCUAAUUUGAUUGAAAUCCCUGUGAAUUCUUGGUGGUUUGAUACCGGUUGCUCAGUUCACAUUUCAAAUUCUUUGGAGGGUUUUGUGAAAUCAAAACAAACUGGUUUUAAAAUUAUAAUGUCUUUGUGGGAGAAGGUACUAAAGUUACGGUAGAAGCUAUAGGUAUGGUGUGUUUAAAAUUGUCUUCUGGUUUUAUACUAAAACUAAAGGAUGUACUUUAUGUGCCUAAAAUGAGGAGAAAUCUGAUCUCUGCUUCAAGAAUUGUCAAAGACGGUUUUGCCUUUCUAGGUGAUGAUGAAAGUUUAAAAAUUUUUUAGAAGAACCACCUAGAUUGUGUUUUGGGAACUGCAUAUUUGAGUGACAAUCUGUGGUGUCUGAAUUGUACUUUGGAGUCCCUAAAUCAACAUGUUUUAAACACAAGCACUAAGAGGAUGCACUGCAGUGAUGAUUCUUUCCUCCUUUGGCACAAGAGGUUAGGUCACAUAUCCAAAGAAAGAGUUUUAAAACUGUCCAAAGCUCAGUUGAUCCCUGAAUUAAAUCUUGCUACUGCAAUUGAGUGUGUUGAUUGUGCAAAAGGGAAGAUGACUAAUUCUAGAAAGUUAGAUGCCAAAAGGAGCCAGAAUUUGCUAGAUAUCAUACACACUGACAUCUGCGGCCCUUUUCCAACCAAAACUAUUUGCGGUAAUUCUUAUUUUGUCAACUUUAUUGAUGAUUUCUCAAGGUUUUGUUACACUUAUUUAAUUAGUGAGAAAUCAUCGGUCCUUGAUUAUUUCAAAAUUUAUAAAACUGAGGUAGAAAAACAAUUAGGCAAGACCAUUAAGAUUGUUAGAUCGGAUAGAGGAGGAGAGUAUUUUGGCAGGUACAGUGAGACUGGACAACACAAGGGUCCGUUUGCGCUUUAUCUUGAACAACAAGGCAUUGUUGCUCAAUACACUACACCAGGAACACCACAGCAAAACGGAGUUUCAGAAAGGAGGAAUCAAACUUUGAUUGGAAUGGUACGAAGCAUGAUGACAAGAUCAAAGUUACCAGGAUUCCUAUGGGGUGAAGCAUUGAAGACAACCACUUAUAUACUGAACAGAGUUCCGAGCAAAGCGGUUUCAUCAACACCUUUUGAAAUCUGGAAUGGCAGGAAGCCCAGUUUUAGUCAUUUCCAUGUUUAGGGAUGUAAAGCUGAGGCUAGAAUUUACAAUCCAAAUGAGAAGAAAUUGGACUCAAGGACAGAAUCAUGUUAUUUCAUUGGCUACUCAAAGAAAUCUAAAGGCUUCAAGUUUUAUUGUCCUCAAGCUCACACCAGGAUUCAUGAAACUCACAAUGCUAGGUUCUUUGAAGAUCAAGAUAUUGCAGACUUAUCGCAGGGCAGGUUCAUUUUUUAAGAAAUUGAUCAAAAUGAGAAGUCCUUUUACAGUAAUUCUUACAAAGAAAUGUUGAUCACUCCCGCUUCCAUGAUUGAAUUGGAGGAAGAACAAUUAGACUGUCCAGAAAAUAUUGACAGAAUGGAAAUUGAUCUUGGGUCCCAACCACAGCAACAAGGGGAUCCAACUCCAACUAAUGAUGCACCAAUGAAUCCGAGCACUGAAGUUCUCCAUGAUCCGACAUUACCAUUGAGACAAUCUUCAAGAAUCAGAAAAACCACAAUGUCAAAUGACUAUGUUUAUUUGCAGGAGCAUGAGUUUGAUUUUGGUGAUGUGGAUGACCCUCUCACUUAUUCUCAGGCCAUGAAUAGUUCUCAACAAUCCUUAUGGCACAGUGCAAUGAAGGAGGAAUUGGAGUCGAUGUCCAAAAACGAAGUAUGGACAUUAGUGGAUUCCAAUCCUCAAUUCAAGGCUAUUGGGUGUAAAUGGGUUUACAAGACCAAAAGAGAUGCUCACGGCAAUAUUGAAAGGUACAAGGCAAGGUUAGUUGCCAAGGGAUUCACUCAGAGGGAAGGGGUGGAUUACAAUGACACAUUUUCUCCCGUCUCUUCCAAAGAUUCUAUUAGGGUCAUAAUGGCACUUGUUGCUCAUUACAAUCUGGAACUGCAUCAAAUGGAUGUUAAAACUGCCUUUCUUAAUGGUGAACUGGCCGAAGACAUUUAUAUGAAGCAGCCUCCUGGAUUUGUUGAAAAGGGGAAAGAAGACAUGGUUUGUAAACUUAACAAGUCAAUCUACGGGCUUAAACAGGCAUCAAGACUGUUCUUAAAGUUUGAUCAAGUAGUUACGAGACAAGGUUUUGUGGAAAACAAAUUAGAUGAUUGCAUCUAUGUUAAGUUUUCAGGCACUAAUUUUAUAUUUUUAGUGUUGUAUGUCGAUGACAUCCUCCUUGCCAGUUCUAACAUGAAGCUGCUCAAAGACACUAAGACCAUGCUCAGUAAGAAUUUUGAAAUGAAGGACCUUGGUGAAGCACACUAUGUACUUGGUAUUGAAAUUGUUCGAGAUAGAUCAAGAAAUUUACUCGAUUUAUCACAAAAGGGAUACAUAGAAAGGGUACUCAUGAGGUUCAAUAUGUCAAGCUGCAGUAAUGGUGAAGUGCCAGUAAACAAGGGAGACAGAUUCUCAAAGGCUCAAUGUCCCAAGAUGCCUAUGGAGAUAGAUAAAAUGAAAAAUAAGCCUUAUGCUUCAUUGGUGGGAAGUUUGAUGUAUACAACUAUCUGCACUAGACCGGACAUUGCUUUUAUAGUUGGAAUGUUGGGCAGGUUUCAAGCAAAUCCAGGAGAGACACAUUGGGUAGCAGCAAAGAAAGUUUUGAGGUACUUGCAAAGAACCAAGAACUAUAUGUUGGUUUAUGGCAGGAAUGAGCUAUUGGAGUUAGUUGGCUACACUGAUUCUGAUUUAGCCGGUGAUGUAGAUGAUAGAAAAUCUAUUGGAGGUUAUAUCUUUAUGCUAAGUGGUGGUGCAGUCUCUUGGAAAAGUGCAAAACAGACUAUCAUCGCAACAUCGACAAUGGAGGCAGAAUUUAUAGCUUGUUUUGAAGGAAUGAAACAAGCUGUAUGGUUGAAAAACUUUGUGACAGAUUUGAAAAUUGUAAAUUUUGUGCAAAGGCCUAUCAUAAUGUAUUGUGAUAACAAUUCUGCAGUAUUUUUUAGCAAGAACAAUAAGAGAACUUCAGCUUCAAGACUGAUGGAUGUAAAAUUCCUCAAGGUCCGAGAAAAGGUUAGAGAAGGAGCAAUUCAGGUGGAGCACUUAAGCACAAAUGCAAUGAUUGCGGAUCCUUUGACUAAGGCAUUGUCGAUUGGUGUAUUUAAAACGCAUGUCUCUCGGAUGGGAAUACUUGAAUCAUUUGAUCAGUAGGAGUGAUUUGUUAGUCUUAUUAUGACUGUUUAUUUGCCGCUGUGAAGUUCAGAGAGCUGGUGCGGUAAUAUAGACAGGUUUCAAAUUCCAAAUUUUAAAAGCUUAUGGCUGGAUAUUGAGAGUAUUAGGUUUGUUAGUUUUGUUUUGUUUAUUUUAUCGAAUUGAGAUCAGUUAUGAUGAUCUAUUGCUUCGACCAAAAUAAAGUUUGAUAUAAUUCAUUUGUUGCUUUUAUAAUGGUUUAUCUGUUUAAAGCAUUUAGUGAUGAAUUGUUGAUUCAUGCAUUGUUUUGAAGCAAAGAUUUGUUUUUCAUCUUGCUGACAAUGGUUUAAAAUAGUGGGAGCAAAUUAUUUUGCUGAUAUUGAUCCAGUUCACAACGUUGAGCAUACAAAUUGAUUGUCUGUGACUCUUGAAAAACUGUUUGCUUUAUUGUGGUAAUACAGUUACAAGCGUUCUGCAUUUUGAGAUGUAUGAUAGCUGGUUGUGAUUGAAAUUUUAUUAACAAGAUUAGUGAUCACUUCUAUCUGAACAUAAUUGACUUGGCCGAGUACUUAAACUGUUCUUAUACUCAAGUGGGAGAAUGUAAGAAUGUGAAUAUAAGAUAGAGGAAUUUUAGGACCGGCUAUAGGUGUUCAAUAAGAUAGAAAAGUCUUGUUAAUAAAAGGAAUGCUAAUCCCUUUUGUAGAGGGAUUCUGUACAGCAUGAAGAUCAGAACAAGGAAACAAGAAUUUGUUUCCUAUAUGGAUUUUGAUAGGGAAUCCUAAUCAGUUAUGGUAAAGAUUAUAUGUAUAUAUAUAGUGGCCUCUCUUCUCACAGGGACAUGCUCAUUAUUUUGGACUUAAUCCUAUUUAUAAGUCGAGCUCUUGAUAACCUGCGAGAGAAGAGAAGGUACACUGAAAGCUUGCUGCUAUGGCUUCGGAUUCUGCUACAAGUGCAGGUAUGUUCUUCUUGCUGUGUUUUCUCAUAUACAUAAAUUGAAUAUUUCUCUCUAAGUUGUAGUUCAUGUUUUGGUCUUGGUGAUUAUGAUUAAGGGUCUUACAAUAUAUAUAGUGGUAUUGGUACAAGUAUACUACUACUGAAUAUAGGAUUGACCAGUGAUAUCAAGGUCUCGGUCGCCGGUGGAAGGUGGGGGUGUGUGCUUGGGGGGUUGAGUGGUGGCUUCAGCUGGUCCGUCGGCACUCUGGCUGUCACUGGCCCGUGGUUUUGCUUUUUCUUUUGCAGGCUGAUCUGGCUCUCUACCGUACAUUCCACCGCCAUAGGCUUCAUAUGUUAAUGGCUUCAUCCUUGAUAUUUCACUAUGACUACCACCACCUCCAUCCUCCUCCUUCUUCUGCUUAACCUCCUCCCGUCUCUGCUUCUCCCUUUCCUUUUCCAUUUUCUGAUGAUCCAUUGAUUC